RNAcentral lists this ribosomal RNA (120 nucleotides) under uncultured bacterium. Its description in RNAcentral is "partial 16S ribosomal RNA". It matches the Rfam family "Bacterial small subunit ribosomal RNA", at positions 215 to 334 of the family's 1533-position model. The record is from RNAcentral.
UCGCCUUUGGAGGGGCUUGCGUCAGAUUAGCUUGUUGGUGGGGUAAUGGCCUACCAAGGCGACGAUCUGUAGCUGGUCUGAGAGGAUGGUCAGCCACACGGGGACUGAGAUACGGCCCCG